GAGUUUGAUCCUGGCUCAGGAUUAACGCUGGCGGCAUGCCUAAUACAUGCAAGUCGAACGGAGUAGCAAUACUUGUGGCGAACGGGUGAGUAACACGUAUCUAAUCUACCAUUUAGUGGGGAAUAACUGUUGGAAACGACAGCUAAUACCGCAUAAUAUUGCUGGAUAAUUUCCAGCAAUGAAAGGAGCUUUCAAGCUCCGCUGAUUGAUGAGGAUGCGGCGCAUUAGCUAGUUGGUAGGGUAAUGGCCUACCAAGGCAAUGAUGCGUAGCCGAUCUGAGAGGAUGAACGGCCACAUUGGGACUGAGACACGGCCCAAACUUCUACGGAAGGCAGCAGUAGGGAAUUUUUCACAAUGGGCGAAAGCCUGAUGGAGCAAUGCCGCGUGACUGAUGAAGGUCUUCGGAUUGUAAAGGUCUGUUGUAAGGGAAGAAAUGGUAAAACAGGAAAUGGUUUUAUCUAUGACGGUACCUUACCAGAAAGCCACGGCUAACUAUGUGCCAGCAGCCGCGGUAAUACAUAGGUGGCAAGCGUUAUCCGGAUUUAUUGGGCGUAAAGGGUGCGUAGACGGUUUUGCAAGUCUGANGUUAAAUUUAGGAGCUCAACUCCUAAUCGCCUUG
Molecule: ribosomal RNA, 619 nt
Filed under: uncultured Spiroplasma sp.
Lineage: Bacteria; Bacillati; Mycoplasmatota; Mollicutes; Entomoplasmatales; Spiroplasmataceae
Description: bacterial SSU rRNA
Rfam family: Bacterial small subunit ribosomal RNA
Source: RNAcentral